CCUCGUUGUUGCAGUAUAUUUUGGACAAAUAAACAAUUUAUUAGGAAAAUACGUUUAAGAAACGCCUCGUGCUGUACUAGCCUAAUUCUGGCAAAUGUUAUUUACUUUCUUCACCUUCGUGUCGAAGAUUGUUGUUUGCUGAUGGCCAAAUCACGACAGCGGACAUCAAUUAUUCAAAAUAUGUUCUUAUAGCUUCACGUUUACGAUACGAAACACGUUUUAAUGUAAGAUUGUUUAUUUUUUGUAUAUGUAGGUUCUAGUUGAAAGUGACAGCGACAAUGAAAAAAGUGCAAACAACAUUGAAAUAUCCAGUUCACUACUAGCUCAAAUCCUGCGACAUAUCACUUGCUAGUAGCCCAGUCUAGUUUUCCCAAUCAAGAAUCAUCUCCUGAAUCAGGCAUACUGGCAACACUGGUUCAUUUGAUAAUGUAAGUUUUUAAACUGGUAUUUUAGAUUAUAGCCAAGGUCAAAUGAGGAUGAAAGUCAUGCAUGAAUUGCUUAUAAAUACACAAAGGAUAAAUACUCAAGUUCCACAUGAACAAAAUAUUAUUAAAGCUUUGAUGAGUGUUCCAACUAUGUUUCAACUUAAUUAAAAUACUCUCAUCCUCGUUUGAUCCAUAAUUAUUUGUUGAUUUUACUCGAUACUAAAUAGUGAAACAUCGAAUCCAGAUAAAAUCUUAUGCAGAACCUACUGUAAUUCCGAGCUGUAAUCACAUAAUGAUAUAAAAGUCGUUUCAGUAGCAGCAAAAGCCAAACUAAACACCAACUAGGAUUAAUAGGUUUAGCUUUUAGGCCGAGAAUAAUACACGAUUGACAAUUUUGUGGCUGAUUGAUUAAUUAAUUAAUAGUAUACUGUAUAUUGAUGUUGUUGUUGUAUACAGGACAUCUGACUUACAUGUCAAAUUAAUAGUCGAAUCUAUGAUUAUAUUGAGCAUGGCAGAUUUGACAUUUUAAACGUUGAUGUUAAUAAUCCAAUGAGUCGCAUUGCUCCCUGAUGCGCACUAAGUAUUUAUUAUUUUACUCCGGUUAUCUAACGCUAGGCAAUUUUACCCAUCAAGGGGAGAGCACUGGCGGUCAAUGUGUUAACUAGGCUAUCUGCUCAUGUUUACAGUUAACCCAUUGAGUCGCAUUGUUCCCUAAAGGCCUGAUUCCACGAGGCGGAAUUUUUCGACCGAAACGAAAUUUCUCUUUGUCUUUUUACAAUUAGUUCUGCUUGAGAGCUCAUGAAACAAAGAGAAAUUUCAAUUCGGUCGAAAAAUUUCGCCUAGUGGAAAACCGCUUUAAUGCGGCCUAAUUUAUUAUUUUACUCUGCCUAUCGCAGGACAAUUUUACUCACUAAGGGCAGAGCGCUGGCGCUUAACGUGUUAACUGGCCUAUCUGCCCAUGUGUCUAGUUAACAGAUUGAGUCGCAUUGCGCCCUUAUUUAUUAUUUUACUCUUUCUAACGCCAGACAAUUUCACUCAAUAAGGGGAGAGCACCAGUACUUAAUGGGUUAACUGGCCUAUCUGCCCAUGCACAUGUGUAAUUGUUAACACAUUGAGUCGCAUUGUACCCUAAUUUAUUAUUUUACUCUGUCUAACGCCAGAUGAUUUCACUCAUUGAGGGAAGAGCACUGGCGCUUAAUGGGUUAACUGGCCUAUCUGCCCAUGUGUGUUGUUAACACAUUGAGUCGCAUUGUGCCCUAAUUUAUUAUUUUACUCUGUCUAACACCAGAUGAUUUUACUCGUCAAGGUAAGGGCGCUGGCGCUUAAUGGGUUAACUGGCCUAUUUGCCCAUGUUUAUAGUUAACCCAUUGAGUCGCAUUGCGGCCUACUUUAUUUUUUUUACUCUGCCUCGAGAGGAGAACGCUGGUGCUUAAUGGGGUUAAUAUUGAAAAUAUAGAUCAACAUUUGUCAAAACUCAUGACUUGUGCAAUCAUUUCUGUAAUAAUUAAGAUAUUAAAAUACCAAAUAUAAUGCCUUAUGGCUUAUUUCAAAUAGGGAGAUGCUAUGUGACUAUGUCCAUUGAAACUUAGUGGAUUUGUUGUAGCUACAUCAAAUAAAUGCUAGCCAAAAACAUAUUCAAGUCAAUCGAAGAGAAUGUAGAAUUGCACUUUACAUAAAAUUCCCUAGUUAUUGUACAUUAAUGAAAAAACAUUUGAAAUGGAAAUAAUUAUAUUGUUUUAAUUUUAUUUCUAUGAUUUGUACUAUGAUAUACAUGGGCUAUACACUCUUUGGGAACCUGCAGGGCUGUUGACAGAGCAUUUCCAUGAUCUGGAACUUCAGUCCUAAACACGAUGUGUGGGUGCGAAGAUGUUGUGUAGGAACAGAACUGUACAGAUUAGAAAUAUGAUUACUGAUAUUUUCCAAAGAAAAACUAUUAAUAUAUAGAAGAGGAAAGAAAGAGGCAAUAAAUAGCCCAAAGUAUCUGUUGUACAUUUGAAAUUUAAAAAUGGUAGGCUUAUUAAGCAUGAGAUCCAGAGAAACACAGUAAUGCAGAACUACAUUCUCUUAAAUUGUCAAAAUUAAACGCUACCAGUCUUGGUCUCGUUUCAAACUUGAAUAACAAAAAGUCUAAAAAUAUAAAAACUAUAAGAACAGAUCAGCUAAGUCCAGUUAUAAAAUUAAAUGAUGAAGGAAAGCUGUCAUUUUAGGAAAGUAUUGUUUUGGGGUGUGUGAACUCAUGAGGUUACAUGUUUCUGGUGAAUCUGCUUGCUGCAGCAAAAAUGUAUUAAUCGCUUGUGACAUAAUUCACAAGAUGUCUAUUUUAACCUGUGGGUUGCCAAACUUCUUAAAUAUGGAAUUUGUUUUGUCUGACCAAGAGAUAAUGAAUACCACUAGUGACAUGAGUAUGUCCAAUUAAUAUUUAACUAGAAAUAAAUGCAUGCAGCAACCCGCCUAGCCUAUAUUUUCCAAACAUUGAUUUAACAUGAACUAUUAGCAAUUGGCCAGCACUGAACACAGGCUCACAUUGUAUCAAGUGUUGUCAAGGCAACAUAAUGUCACAUUAUAUUUCAAAUAUUUUUGAGUAAUUUUGCAAGUGUUCAUACAACAGAAUCUACCAUACAUAAUUUUAAACAAAUAGAUAGGUGAGGUAACUCAAACAAAAUGAUUUUGAACUUUAUUACUCUACUCUGUCGAACGCCUAUUCUACUCGUAAAGGGGAGAGCCCUGGUGCUUAAUGGGUUAAAUAAGAUUGUAUAGUUAUAUGUAUAUCAUGUAUUAUGUUUUUAUGCAGUCUCCUUGAAUCACUUGUACCAGGCUAUGGAAAUUCAAGUUUCCAAUUUUGUAUUUAUUUUUCUUUUGAUACAGUAUACUGUAAAUUUGAAUAAUAUUUGUGCGCUUAUAGUGAGCUUAUUUUUAGGAGAGUUUGUUGCGAGGCAGCACAUAUUUUGAUAUUUCAAAAUAUUACUGUAUAUUUGUAUGUUAUAAUCAAUGCUUUUGGAAGGGUUAUAGGGGUCAGGUGUGAUAUACUUUUUCAGGUAUUUUGUGUCUUAUGUAUGUAAGAGCUUUAUUAUUGGGUUUCUUGGUGAGACCUUAUAUCUUAUGUGUCCUAUAACCCUCUGUAAUUGCGGAUUAUUGCAUACAUUCUAAUUGUAUUUUUUUGUAGGAAUCCAAAGAUGCAAAUGAUACAAUUUUAAACUUAUCACAACUCAUAUUGUGGCCGCUGGCAGCGUACUAGAAUACGACUAGAAACUGUCAAUCAUACGUUAUCGAGGGAAAGGAUGAAAGUUCCAUAACAAGCAACAGUUGUUUUGAUGCAGUUAUCGCCUUAUUGGCAAGUUUUUACAUCUUCAAUAUUGAGUACUGCCACACGAAGAGCAUCUUGUCUGCCUUGCAGACUAUAGUAGUGCAUGGGCAACACAGAAAAUGGCAUACAACUGCCAAUCGUGAGUUUAAGCAAGUGACGUUUUUGACAACACGGACGUCGACCGGAGGUAAAGUUGACGUUUUUCACCAAUCACAGUCCUUGACCCUGUCUUCUGACGUUGCUCAUGCCGUCAGUGUUGUCAAAAACGUCACUUGCUUAAGCUCACUAAUGAGGGUCACAGCCCUUUUCAAUGACUUAAUUGUCAUGACUCAUGAAUAUUAGUACUACAGUAAUUUUACACUUUUUGAGAGUUAUGUUGACAUAUGCUAACCCAAGUUAAUGUUAUUGAUGGAAUGUGUGUAUUGUCUCACAUCUCACCGCUCACCGGGCACACGACGUUGUUUCAACGUUGAAAUUUUGUAGAAAAAAAGGUUGCGACGUCGACAACCUAAUAUCUACGUUGCUCUGACGUUGUUUUACAAACAUUGGUUCAACAGCAGCCAACAGACGUUGAAUUAACGUUCAUUAAUGGUUAAAUGUACGACGUCGAUUUGUGAACCAAUCUCAACGUUGUUUUAACGUGGAUUCAACGUUGAAUUAUGGUUGACGAGAUUGCCAACCUAAUUUCAACGUUGUUUCAACGUCGAAACAGUAACGUCGAUCCAAUUUUCAUAGUCAACCCUUUUUCAACAUCUAUCCAGCGUCUGGAAGGUCAUUUCCAACGUUGAUUCAAUGUUGGAUAAUCGUCAUUUUGCCCGCUGGGCGAACUGUGGUAAUGUAUUAGAAAUUAUUCGUAUUGCGUUCACGUUAACAACCGCGCCUGCUAUUGCUAUCACAAGUUGAUUGCUCUUUAAAAUUAGAAUUGUAAACUUUCGGAGCCAUAUGGCAUAUAUGUACGAAUCUUUUGAUGGUUCCCACAUUUCGGUGAAAUACAUAAUACUGACUACUGUGC
Molecule: non-coding RNA, 4741 nt
Organism: Paramuricea clavata
Lineage: Eukaryota; Metazoa; Cnidaria; Anthozoa; Malacalcyonacea; Plexauridae
Source: the annotation of a GenBank genome assembly